RNAcentral lists this unclassified non-coding RNA (1121 nucleotides) under Hevea brasiliensis (rubber tree). The record is from RNAcentral. Lineage: Eukaryota; Viridiplantae; Streptophyta; Magnoliopsida; Malpighiales; Euphorbiaceae.
GAAAAUAAAUACUGACACCUUACAACAAGUUUGAGUACUGUUUUACAAAACAAAUACAAUUCUUUUGUCAUUGUACAGUGCUCCUCGGACAACAAGGCUACCAUAUACAUUCAGAAGUGAUUAUUGCAUCUUCAAAUCUCCUUGGAUCCGGAUAUAGUUGUUUUCCUUGUCUACUUAUAGUUUUGCAGGUUGUUUAGCGUAUGUCGGGUCAACACAAACGACAACCUUUCCAGCACUUUUACCAGAAUGAAGGUACUCAACAGCAUCGGCAACUGAAUGUAGGCCAACAAACUGUUUGGGAUCUAUAGCGACCUUAAGCUUUCCAGAAGAGAAAAGAUUAACCAGUCUGUCCAAAUGCUCUUGCCAUAGGUGAGCAUAUUGUAUCAGGAAAAAUCCAGCCACGGUUUGACUUUUUGCUAGAAGCUUUUCGCAUAUUCCAGGGUAAUUCCGAGGUUUCCAACCAUGUUCUCCUUGAUACUGAGAAAUCAUUCCAAUGACAACAAGUCGUCCGUAGACAGCCAAUGCAUUCAAGCAAAUGUCAAACAUCUCACCACCAACGGACUCGUAGACAAUAUCAGCACCUUUAGGGAACUCCUCCUUUAAAACAGCUUUUAUAUCUUCCACUUUGUAGUCAAUGACCCGAUCAACUCCCAAAUCCUUAAGAAGCUUGGCCUUUUCGUAACCUCCACAAGUUGCAACUACAGUGUUUCCAGCUAAUUUUGCAAGCUGCACUGCAAAUUGUCCUGUCGCUCCUGCAGCGGCAGUCACAAGGACAACUUUUCCCGACUCCAUUUGAGCAGCCUUUUCCAAAGCAAUUGAUGCGGUGAGUCCAGAGGUAAGCAUUGCAAGUACUUCUGGAUCUGGUUUUUCUACAGGAAGGAUGUGUUUGGUGGGGACCAUGACAAAUUCAGCAUAACCGCCAAAAGUCAUGAUGGCAGCAGGCACGCCAAUCUUUAAAUUUCUAACACCAUCACCGAGUGCAGCAAUUACUCCCACAGCCUCGAAGCCAGAAUCCAGUGGAAGGAGGGAGGUGAUAUCUUUGCCAUUUCCACUGAAAUACCUCCCUGAGCUGAAGUUGACAUCACUAGCAUUCACACCAGCAUAGAUGACUUUUAAUAGAA